Molecule: ribosomal RNA, 1765 nt
Filed under: Cucurbita maxima (winter squash)
Lineage: Eukaryota; Viridiplantae; Streptophyta; Magnoliopsida; Cucurbitales; Cucurbitaceae
Description: SSU rRNA
Rfam family: Eukaryotic small subunit ribosomal RNA
Source: RNAcentral
CCUUGUUCAUCCUGAUAGUAGUCAUAUGCUUGUCUUAAAUAUUAAGUCAUGCAUGUAUAAAAAUGAACUAAUUCAAACUAUGAAACUUUGAAUGACUCAUUAAAUCAAUUAUAGUUUGUUUGAUAGUAUUUGCUACUCGAAUAACCAUAGUAAUUUUAAAGCUAAUACGUGAAACUUCAAACCUUGAUUUCUUGAAGGGAUGAUGGGCUAAGCCCAUUGCUCUGAUGAUUCAUGAUAACUCGACAAAUUGCACGACCAUCGUGUCGACAACGCAUUAUUCAAAUUUCUGCCCUAUCAACUUUUGAUGAUAGGAUAGUGGCCUACAUUGGUGGUGACGGGUGACGGAGAAUUAGGGUUCGACUUCGAAGAAGGAGCUUGAGAAACGACAACUAAAUCAAAGAAACGCAACAGACGCGCAAAUUACCCAAUCCUGACACGGGGAGGUAGUGACAAUAAAUAACAAUACCGGGCUCUUUGAAUCUAGUAAUUGGAAUGAGUACAACCUUAAUGCCUUAACGAUGAUUAAUUGGAGGACAAGUUUGGUGCCAGCCGCUGCAGUAGUUCCAGUUCCAAUAAUCUAUAUUUAAGUUGUUGCAGUUAAAAAGCUCGUAGUUUGACCGUGGAUUGGGUCGGUCGGUUUGUCUAUGGUGAGCAUUGGUUGGCUCGUCCCUUCUGUCGGCGAUGCGCUCCUAGCCUUAACUGACUGGGUCGAGCCUCCGACGUUGUUGCUUUGAAGAAAUUAGAGUGCUCAAAACAAAUCUACGCUUUGUAUACAAUAGUUUGAGAUAACAUCAUAGGAUUUUGAUCUUAUUCUAUUGGCCUUCGGGAUUGAAAUAAUGAUUAAUAGGGACGGUCAGGGGCAUUCAUAUUUUAUAGUCAGAGGUUAAAUUCUUUUAUUUAUGAAAGACGAACAACUGUAAAGCAUUUGCCAAGCAUAUUUUCAUUAAUAAAAAACAAAAGCUUGAGGCUUGAAGACGAUCAGAUACCGUCGUAGUCUCAAUCAUAAACGAUGCCGACCAGAAAUUGGAGGAUUUUUCUAUAAGGACUCACCAGAACCUUAUGAGAAAUCAAAGUUUUUGGGUUAUGGGGGAGUAUGGUCGCAAGGUUGAAACUUAAAGGAAUUGAUAGAAUGACGCCACAAGGACUGGAGCCUACUGCUUAAUUUGACUCAACAUGGGGAAACUUACCAGGUGCAGGCAUAAUAAGGAUUGACAGGCUGAGAACACUUUCUUGGUUCUAUGGGUGGUGGUGCAUGGUCGUUCUUAGUUGGUGGAGCGAUUUGUCUAGUUAAUUUCGUUAAUAAACGAGACCUCAACUUGCUAACUAGCUAUGCGGAGGAAUCCCUCUACGACCAGCUUCAGGACUAUGGCCGCUUAGGCCAAGGAAGUUUGAGACAAUAAUAGGUCUACCCUUAGAUAUUCUAGACUGCACGCGUGCUACACUGAUGUAUUCAACGAGUCUAUAGCCUUGGCCAAUAGGUCCAUGUAAUCUUUGAAAUUUCAUCGUGAUGGGGAUAGAUCAUUGCAAUUAUUGGUCGUCAACGAGAAAAUCCUAGUAAGCGUGAGUCAUCAGCUCACGUUGACUCUGUCCUUGCCCUUUGUACACACCGCUUGUCGCUCCUACUACUUGAAUGUUUUGGUGAAGUAUUUGGAUCGUUGUGACGUGGGAGGUUCGCUGCCCACGACAUCGUAAGAAGUCCACUGAACCUUGUCAUUUAGAGGAAGGAGAAGUAGUAACAAUAUUUCUACAGGUGAACCUGCAGAAG